AGCGAUGAAAUCCCUUCGGGGAUGGAUUAGCGGCGGACGGGUGAGUACACGUGGGCAACCUGCCUCAAGUGGGGGAUAGCCUCGAAAGGGAGAAUACCCAUACAUUAGUAAUUCACAUGAAAUACUAAUUAAAGGAGUAAUCCGCUUUGAGAUGGGCCCGCGGGCAUUAGCUAGUCUCACCAAGGC
RNAcentral lists this ribosomal RNA (186 nucleotides) under uncultured Clostridium sp. RNAcentral's name for it is "partial 16S ribosomal RNA". It matches the Rfam family "Bacterial small subunit ribosomal RNA", at positions 65 to 274 of the family's 1533-position model. The record is from RNAcentral. Lineage: Bacteria; Bacillati; Bacillota; Clostridia; Eubacteriales; Clostridiaceae.